Molecule: transfer RNA, 58 nt
Filed under: Salmo salar (Atlantic salmon)
Lineage: Eukaryota; Metazoa; Chordata; Actinopteri; Salmoniformes; Salmonidae
Also listed under: 1 other name
Rfam family: tRNA
About the family: Transfer RNA (tRNA) molecules are approximately 80 nucleotides in length. Their secondary structure includes four short double-helical elements and three loops (D, anti-codon, and T loops). Further hydrogen bonds mediate the characteristic L-shaped molecular structure. tRNAs have two regions of fundamental functional importance: the anti-codon, which is responsible for specific mRNA codon recognition, and the 3' end, to which the tRNAs corresponding amino acid is attached (by aminoacyl-tRNA synthetases). tRNAs cope with the degeneracy of the genetic code in two manners: having more than one tRNA (with a specific anti-codon) for a particular amino acid; and 'wobble' base-pairing, i.e. permitting non-standard base-pairing at the 3rd anti-codon position.
Source: Rfam by way of RNAcentral
UGGCUCAGUUGGUAGAGCAUGGUGCUUGCAAUGCUACAGUUGUGGGUUUGAUUCCCAC